This 467-nucleotide ribosomal RNA is filed under the name uncultured bacterium. RNAcentral's name for it is "partial 16S ribosomal RNA". It matches the Rfam family "Bacterial small subunit ribosomal RNA", at positions 28 to 506 of the family's 1533-position model. The record is from RNAcentral.
GACGAACGCUGGCGGCGUGCUUAACACAUGCAAGUCGAACGGAAAGGCCCUGCUUUUGUGGGGUGCUCGAGUGGCGAACGGGUGAGUAACACGUGAGUAACCUGCCCUUGACUUUGGGAUAACUUCAGGAAACUGGGGCUAAUACCGGAUAGGAGCUCCUGCUGCAUGGUGGGGGUUGGAAAGUUUCGGCGGUUGGGGAUGGACUCGCGGCUUAUCAGCUUGUUGGUGGGGUAGUGGCUUACCAAGGCUUUGACGGGUAGCCGGCCUGAGAGGGUGACCGGCCACAUUGGGACUGAGAUACGGCCCAGACUCCUACGGGAGGCAGCAGUGGGGAAUAUUGCACAAUGGGCGGAAGCCUGAUGCAGCAACGCCGCGUGCGGGAUGACGGCCUUCGGGUGGUAAACCGCUUUCGCCUGUGACGAAGCGUGAGUGACGGUAAUGGGUAAAGAAGCACCGGCCAACUACGU